UACGGAGGGUGCAAGCGUUAUCCGGAUUCACUGGGUUUAAAGGGUGCGUAGGCGGUCAGGUAAGUCAGUGGUGAAAUCCCCGAGCUUAACUUGGGAACUGCCGUUGAUACUAUCUGUCUUGAAUAUUGUGGAGGUAAGCGGAAUAUGUCAUGUAGCGGUGAAAUGCUUAGAUAUGACAUAGAACACCGAUAGCGGAGGCAGCUUACUACGCGAUUAUUGACACUGAGGCACGAAAGCGUGGGGAGCAAACAGG
Molecule: ribosomal RNA, 253 nt
Filed under: uncultured bacterium
Lineage: Bacteria
Description: partial 16S ribosomal RNA
Rfam family: Bacterial small subunit ribosomal RNA
Source: RNAcentral